GACGAACGCUGGCGGCGUGCUUAACACAUGCAAGUCGAACGGAAAGGCCUGCUUUCCCUUGUGGAUUGCGGGUACUCGAGUGGCGAACGGGUGAGUAACACGUGAGUGAUCUGCCCCCAACUUGGGUAUAAGCCUGGGAAACUGGGUCUAAUUCCCGAUAGGACUGCAGGGUGGUGCCUGUGGUGGAAAACGAUUUUCUAGUGGGUGGGGAUGAGCUCGCGGCCUAUCAGCUUGUUGGUGGGGUAAUGGCCUACCAAGGCGGCGACGGGUAGCCGGCCUGAGAUGGUGGACGGCCACAUUGGGACUGGGAUACGGCCCAGACUCCUACGGGAGGCAGCAGUGGGGAAUAUUGCACAAUGGGCGGAAGCCUGAUGCAGCGACGCCGCGUGGGGGAUGACGGCCUUCGGGUUGUAAACUCCUUUCGACCGCGAGGAAGCCACCUGGUUGGAAGGGUGGUGACGGUAGUGGUAGAAGAAGCACCGGCUAACUACGUG
Molecule: ribosomal RNA, 494 nt
Filed under: uncultured bacterium
Lineage: Bacteria
Description: partial 16S ribosomal RNA
Rfam family: Bacterial small subunit ribosomal RNA
Source: RNAcentral